RNAcentral lists this ribosomal RNA (468 nucleotides) under uncultured bacterium. RNAcentral's name for it is "partial 16S ribosomal RNA". It matches the Rfam family "Bacterial small subunit ribosomal RNA", at positions 28 to 507 of the family's 1533-position model. The record is from RNAcentral.
GACGAACGCUGGCGGCGUGCUUAACACAUGCAAGUCGAACGGAAAGGCCCUGCUUUUGUGGGGUGCUCGAGUGGCGAACGGGUGAGUAACACAUGAGUAAACUGCCCUUGACUUUGGGAUAACUUCAGGAAACUGGGGCUAUUACCCGAUAGGAGCUCCUGCUGCAUGGGGGGGGUUGGGAAGUUUCGGCGGUUGGGGCUGUACUCGCGGCUUAUGAGCUUGUUUGUGGGGUAGUUGCUUACCAAGGCUUUGAAGGGUAGCCGGCCUGAGAGGGUGAACGGCGACAAGAGGACUGAGGUACGGCCCAGACUCCAACGGGAGGCAGCAGGCGGGAGUAUUGCACAGUGGGGCGAAGCCUGAGGAGACAACGCCGCGUUCGGGAUGACGGCCUUCGGGUUGUAAACCGCUUUCGCCUGUGACGAAGCGGGAGUGACGGUAAUGGGUAAAGAAGCACCGGCUAACUACGUG